RNAcentral lists this ribosomal RNA (373 nucleotides) under uncultured organism. RNAcentral's name for it is "partial 16S ribosomal RNA". It matches the Rfam family "Bacterial small subunit ribosomal RNA", at positions 527 to 896 of the family's 1533-position model. The record is from RNAcentral.
GUAGGUGGCAAGCGUUGUCCGGAAUUAUUGGGCGUAAGGCGCGCGCAGGCGGUCCUUUAAGUCUGAUGUGAAAGCCCACGGCUCAACCGUGGAGGGUCAUUGGAAACUGGGGGACUUGAGUACAGAAGAGGAAAGCGGAAUUCCAAGUGUAGCGGUGAAAUGCGUAGAGAUUUGGAGGAACACCAGUGGCGAAGGCGGCUUUCUGGUCUGUAGCUGACGCUGAGGCGCGAAAGCGUGGGGAGCAAACAGGGAUUAGAUACCCUGGUAGUCCACGCCGUAAACGAUGAGUGCUAAGUGUUAGGGGGUUUCCCGCCCCUUAGUGCUGCAGCUAACGCAUUAAGCACUCCGCCUGGGGAGUACGGCCGCAAGGCUG